This 86-nucleotide transfer RNA is filed under the name Vreelandella sulfidaeris. Its description in RNAcentral is "Halomonas sulfidaeris tRNA-Leu". It matches the Rfam family "tRNA". From Rfam's summary of the family: Transfer RNA (tRNA) molecules are approximately 80 nucleotides in length. Their secondary structure includes four short double-helical elements and three loops (D, anti-codon, and T loops). The record is from RNAcentral. Lineage: Bacteria; Pseudomonadati; Pseudomonadota; Gammaproteobacteria; Oceanospirillales; Halomonadaceae.
GCCCGGAUGGCGAAAUCGGUAGACGCAAGAGACUUAAAAUCUCUGGGGGCAACCCCGUGCCGGUUCAAGUCCGGCUCCGGGCACCA